This 119-nucleotide ribosomal RNA is filed under the name Triticum aestivum (bread wheat). The record is from RNAcentral. Lineage: Eukaryota; Viridiplantae; Streptophyta; Magnoliopsida; Poales; Poaceae.
GGAUGUGAUCAUACCAGCACUAAAGCAAUGUAUCCCAUCAGAACUCCGAAGUUAAGCGUGCUUGGGCGAGAGUAGUACUAGGAUGGGUGACCUCCUGGGAAGUCCUCGUGUUGCAUUCC